Long non-coding RNA from Corticium candelabrum, 509 nucleotides. RefSeq lists it as uncharacterized. NCBI's taxonomy places the organism in Eukaryota, Metazoa, Porifera, Homoscleromorpha, Homosclerophorida, Plakinidae. The transcript has 3 exons. The record is from RefSeq and is a predicted model, not a curated record.
GUGAAACAAGCGAGAAAUCGGUGGGAUGGGCCAACCACACGUUCAGACCCGUCUAGUGCGUAUUCUCAGCCGGAAUGUUUCGAAACGGAGGAUUACGUUAGUAGGAGGCUUUGGGCUUUACCCCAAGGUAAAAGGAGACUGAAGUCUGAAGCAGCAAGCUGCGCUGGCGAUUUAUACUAGACGAAGCCAUUGCAACGUGACAAUGUGAGAAAGUCAACAAAUAUAGAAGAGAAGAAAAGGCUGAAAGAAAGAAUAAGAAAUGGAGCAGCGUGAAAGUAAGUUUGAACCGAAGAGAUGAGCUUCUCUUGAUGUUGAUGUGGAUUACGUCGACAAUGCUGAAGAAUCUGAUCAGUGUCCUGCUGUUAGUCCUGGACUCCAGUACGAAGCAUUCGCAGAUUGUUGUUGGCUGCUUUGUAUAAAAUGGAAAUUCUACGAGGUCACAAUUUAAAUGUCAGAAGGCACUAUGAGACAUUAUAGAGUAUCUCAAGUAAAAGAAAGCCAUCAAUAAU